Labrus bergylta (ballan wrasse) is the source of this 234-nucleotide non-coding RNA. The record is from RefSeq and is a predicted model, not a curated record. Lineage: Eukaryota; Metazoa; Chordata; Actinopteri; Labriformes; Labridae.
CAUAAAACAGGCGGGUGGAGACUAAUAGAAGGCUGUUUGAAAAAGCAGCACACACUUUGAAGGAAACGUCCCUCCUCUGAACAUCUUCACCUCUCUGCUCCAGAGGACCUGACAAGAAUACUUUCUGCCUAUUCUGAAACACAAAGAUGGCUGUAGCUCUCACUCUCCUUCUUGUUGGCUGUCUGCUCCCAGGUGCCCUGUGUGGACAGUUUGAGAGCAUUAUACCAAAGACUA